UUCCGGUUGAUCCCGCCGGACCUUACUGCUAUCGGGGUGGGACUAAGACAUGCGAGUCGAGCGUCUCUAGCUAUGUUGAGACGCGGCAGACGGCUCAGUAACACGUGGCUAACCUACCCUCAGGACGAGUACAAACCCGGGAAACUGGGGCUAAUACUCGAUAGGUGAGUAUAUCUGGAAUGAUUUCUCACUCAAAGGGCUUUGGAUACAUGCUUCCAACGUCGCCUGGGGAUGGGGCCGCGUCCGAUCAGGUUGUUGGUGAGGUAACGGCUCACCAAGCCUAUAACCGGUACGGGCCAUGAGAGUGGUAGCCCGGAGAUGGGUACUGAGACAAGUACCCAGGCCCUACGGGGCGCAGCAGUCGCGAAAACUCCGCAAUGCACGAAAGUGUGACGGGGCUACCCCGAGUGCCAUCCGCUGAGGGUGGCUUUUCUUUGGUAUAAUUAGCCAUUGGAAUAAGGAGAGGGCAAGACUGGUGUCAGCCGCCGCGGUAAUACCAGCUCUCCGAGUGGUAGGGAUGUUUAUUGGGCUUAAAGCGUCCGUAGCCGGCUUAGCAAGUCUCCUGUUAAAUUCAGCGACCUAAUCGUUGACCCGCGGGAGAUACUACUAAGCUAGGAGGCGGGAGAGGUCGACGGUACUUCUGGGGUAGGGGUGAAAUCCUAUAAUCCCGGGAGGACCACCAGUGGCGAAGGCUGUCGACUAGAACGCGCUCGACUGUGAGGGACGAAAGCUGGGGGAGCAAACCGGAUUAGAUACCCGGGUAGUCCCAGCUGUAAACUAUGC
This 783-nucleotide ribosomal RNA is filed under the name uncultured archaeon. RNAcentral describes it as "bacterial SSU rRNA". It matches the Rfam family "Archaeal small subunit ribosomal RNA", at positions 1 to 763 of the family's 1478-position model. The record is from RNAcentral.